ACCUUGUAUACCAUUCCAUAAUCAUCCUGUCCUGAAGGAAAAACACACAGAGGAACUUCUCCUCCUUCAUUGCCAAGAUCCAAGCAAUGUAAAUGGGCUUGCUAAAGUCAUAUUCAGACCACAACUUGGAUCUAAAUUUUUCAUUGGGAUUUAUAAUGGGCUGAUAUGGAACCUUGAAUCCAAACAUCACAGAAGCUUGAAGAGUUGAAAUCUAGGCUUGCCCUAAGGUCUUCUGGCAGUGCAGGGGGCUGAGAACAGCAUGUGAGGAGGUAGGUUGCCGUCAUUCAGCUAAAAAGCCACACUUUCCAUGAAGCAUCACUGAUUUGUUUGCACGUGGUUGAGGGGUGAAUGAUAAGACUGGAGAAAAUGGAAAAUUGCUUUGGAUGACUCUGAUGCUGCCUCCUGCAAAGAGUAUCGAUGAGAAGAGGUGAAGGCAUGAUAUUCCAUCCUGCAAUAGAACGAGUUGUGUUUGCAAGAUGGGCCCUGGAUGAGCAAG
This is a long non-coding RNA of Dermochelys coriacea (leatherback sea turtle), 496 nucleotides long. RefSeq lists it as uncharacterized. The transcript has 4 exons. NCBI's taxonomy places the organism in Eukaryota, Metazoa, Chordata, Testudines, Dermochelyidae. The record is from RefSeq and is a predicted model, not a curated record.